GCCCCCCGCCCGCUCGGGUUCCGUUCAUCGGCGGCGCCACACCGCGAUCUCGGUUAUCCACGCCCCGGAGCCGCACCCUCGCACCGGCGACGCCGCUCUCAUCCUCCCGGAGCGCCCGGCGCCGCACCCUCCUCCCAACGGGAUCCCCUCUUCCCGGCGCCGCACCCUCCUCCCAACGGGGCGCUCCCUCCUUCCGGCGCCCCACCCUCCUCCCGACGGGGCUUCAUCCUCUCCCGAAGCGGUUUUCUUCCCCAGGUCGCGAUCCGUUUUGCUCCGCCAUUCCUCCCAUCGCCGAUCCGGGUACUGGCGCCGCCCGCGGCCGGUUGCUGGCCAACCCUUGCGUGUCCCCGCAUUCAACGCGACGCCGCUCAGUGCUCCCGUCGUUGUUCCACGAGACCGAUCCGUCCUCCCAUCGCCGUCGAUCCUCCUCAGCCUGCCUUCGGAUCAGGGUCAUGUAGCAGCACAUCCCCAAGUUUGCUAUCCCUCCCGUCACCGCGCACCGCCGUUUCCCGUCGAAUCUCCCGCAGGCCGCAGCAGGCACGUCUCCACUGCGCAAAGCUUAGACAUAAUUCCUUUUUUCUUCAAUUUUGCAGAAAGAUUUACUCUAGCUCCUGGGUGGCGGCGCUCAAUCUGAUGAAUCGCUGGGGAACCCCCGCUGGCUCAAGGUUUUCUAUCCGUCCACUUACCUCUCCCACUGGCGUGCAUGGCGAGUGCGAUGGCAACGGCCAGUGGCCACUGGUGGCUAAAGCUGCCUUGAUGCAUGUGUUAUGGAAGAUGAAACGUGAGGCAGCGGAGAGCUGGGGAUGCUAACGUUGAUUUGCUCUGCACCAUUCCUCCAACGUGGAGAUCAGCAACGAGGGCAGGAACAAGCUUUGUGUACUCAAAAGGGACUUCACUUUCCUGAAUUUCUGAAUGCUUCACUGAAUUUGAUUCAGAUUAUGUGUGGCACUGACCGUAAUGCCCCUCUUUAAAGUUUAGUGUAAAUAGUUGCCCCUAUAUGUCAUACUGAUUCAUAACCUUUCUGAUAUCUGAAACGUAUUUUUAAUUUUGUUACAACAAUUGGGCCACCUUAUAUGUAGUCGUAUAUACAACAUUAAAUUGAUUUAGUUGUGGUUAAUUGUGACUAAUCCCCCAAAGAGUUUUUUUAAUCUUUGUGUGGGUUUCCUUUUCAGAUGUAAUUGGAUGUACUGGUGCUGCUGCAUCUUAAGAUGGAAGUACUCAUGCCGGAUGGAAGAUAAGAGCAAGCAUGCUGUCAAGCCAAGAACAGCACAUCCUCAUCUACAUCCAUUUGAAUUUGAACGUCUGUAGUGUGAUCCUUCCUAAGAAUCCUAACCCA
Molecule: long non-coding RNA, 1336 nt
Organism: Panicum virgatum (switchgrass)
Lineage: Eukaryota; Viridiplantae; Streptophyta; Magnoliopsida; Poales; Poaceae
Exons: 3
Source: RefSeq, a predicted model, not a curated record